RNAcentral lists this transfer RNA (74 nucleotides) under Actinomadura viridilutea. Its description in RNAcentral is "tRNA-Leu". It matches the Rfam family "tRNA". Rfam says of the family: Transfer RNA (tRNA) molecules are approximately 80 nucleotides in length. Lineage: Bacteria; Bacillati; Actinomycetota; Actinomycetes; Streptosporangiales; Thermomonosporaceae. The record is from RNAcentral.
GCCCCCUUAGCCCAACUGGAAGAGGCAGUCCCCUUAAAAGGGACGUGUUGUCGGUUCGAAUCCGACCGGGGGUA